Molecule: ribosomal RNA, 493 nt
Filed under: Bacillus cereus
Lineage: Bacteria; Bacillati; Bacillota; Bacilli; Caryophanales; Bacillaceae
Description: bacterial SSU rRNA
Rfam family: Bacterial small subunit ribosomal RNA
Source: RNAcentral
AACGCUGGCGGCGUGCCUAAUACAUGCAAGUCGAGCGAAUGAGAUUAAGAGCUUGCUCUUAUGAAGUUAGCGGCGGACGGGUGAGUAACACGUGGGUAACCUGCCCAUAAGACUGGGAUAACUCCGGGAAACCGGGGCUAAUACCGGAUAACAUUUUGAACUGCAUGGUUCGAAAUUGAAAGGCGGCUUCGGCUGUCACUUAUGGAUGGACCCGCGUCGCAUUAGCUAGUUGGUGAGGUAACGGCUCACCAAGGCAACGAUGCGUAGCCGACCUGAGAGGGUGAUCGGCCACACUGGGACUGAGACACGGCCCAGACUCCUACGGGAGGCAGCAGUAGGGAAUCUUCCGCAAUGGACGAAAGUCUGACGGAGCAACGCCGCGUGAGUGAUGAAGGCUUUCGGGUCGUAAAACUCUGUUGUUAGGGAAGAACAAGUGCUAGUUGAAUAAGCUGGCACCUUGACGGUACCUAACCAGAAAGCCACGGCGAACUAC